RNAcentral lists this long non-coding RNA (1441 nucleotides) under Anser cygnoides (Swan goose). RNAcentral describes it as "lncRNA (ENSACDG00005018255.1)". Lineage: Eukaryota; Metazoa; Chordata; Aves; Anseriformes; Anatidae. The record is from RNAcentral.
AUUUUCUUGAAGAAUCAACAUAAACAGAGACAGGGUUUCAAGAGUUACUGUUUUUCUUCCACUAAGAGCUGUGAAGGGACAAAAUCAAGUGAACCACUAUGUACCUUGCUAUCUAGUUUAGUUGAGGAGGGACAGGUUUUUUUUUUUUUUUUUUUUUUAACAUUGAACAAUCAUUCAAAUAAAAUAAGGAAACAGUUCACUGGAAUCAAAGAGCAGAGAUCCUAUUUCAUGUUCUACUUCAACCUUCUAAUGCCUGAAAUCUGUUUGCACUGUACUGCAAGUCAGUUUCCCUGUGGGAUUGCUGUAGUCAGGUGCAAGGUAAAUUUGAAUGCCUUUCGGUCCAUUUUUUUCAAACUGAGUUAUGUCCUGAGGCACCCAGUGUUUCACACAGUGUACGAAAUAUUAGGGUUCUGGAUUCUCUUGGGAAGAAGAUAUUAUUAAAAAUCCAAAUGCUUCACUGUUUCUGAUCAGGAAUAUAGUGUAGUGUUUUAUUGUUUUAAAUUAUUAUUAUUAUUAUUACUAUUUCACUCUAUGAAAUGGAUUAGUAGCAUUUUUUUAUUACUAUAAUUCCAUUUUUUUUUUCAGCGGAAACAGAUACAGACUCAGAUAAUGCUCACGAACAGAAUGAAAAAGAAGAAAAAACAGUUUCUUGUUAUUCUCACUGUUGUCUGGCUUAUGUUAGAUUUACACUUCAUUGGACUAAAAAUCAUGUUGAGCACUGUUUUGCAUAAAUAUUCUUUAAACACCUCAGUGAUUUCACUGUCAUAAAACAGAGCCUGAACUGGAUCUUCUUGUCAGGUAGACCAAAUAGGAGGAUCAUGUGGAAGAAUGAUGGAAUGUUGGAAUGAUGUUUGAAUAUGAUAUUAGAGAAUCAUUUAUUGCCAGCUUGGAGAAGAACUGACUGAAGUGUUUAAAACUAGCUUUGUUCUUUUUGAACCUCAUCAUAUGUUAAAAAGGUAGAUGAUUCAAGUUGAAGAUGAAAGACUGAGAACUGUCUUAUCUCUAUCUUCAAAAUCGAUAUAGAGAAAAAAAUCUUAUUCUCACUACCAUCUGUAGUACAUCUAAUGUUAAUUUUAAAAAUAUUUUCCUGUAAUUUUUUUUGCUGCAGGAAAUAUUUUCUUCCACUGAUAUUAUUUAUUUGAAUGAAUUGCUGUUUUGGGAGAAUAUAUAUGUUCUGCAAGUAAUCACAUGCACAUUCAGAGAGGCUAAUAUACAUUGGGUAUUCCUAGAUAUAUAAGUUUUUUGAAAAAUAUGCACUAGUUUUACAUAGAUUUUGCUGUUUAUGGUUUCUAACCAUACAGAGCAUGAGUCAUGUAAUUGCAGUAUGCUUUUAUUUCUGUAUCUCUACUUUCUACUCUGUGGCUAGUCCACUUAAAAGCCAUAUUACUUUUAUGAACUUUCAUAUUAAAGGCAGCAUAGGUUUUGUGGUCUAAAAGUUUGU